AUGGAGAAAUCAAUUACUUCAGA
RNAcentral lists this microRNA (23 nucleotides) under Xenopus laevis (African clawed frog). Its description in RNAcentral is "xla-let-7j-5p". Its record names the gene xla-let-7j-5p. The record is from miRBase by way of RNAcentral. Lineage: Eukaryota; Metazoa; Chordata; Amphibia; Anura; Pipidae.